This 1038-nucleotide long non-coding RNA is filed under the name Marmota monax (woodchuck). The record is from RNAcentral. Lineage: Eukaryota; Metazoa; Chordata; Mammalia; Rodentia; Sciuridae.
CGGGCAGUUGUGCACCUGAACCAUGCUUCAGGAAAGUUGGCUUGGGGUUGGGGACGGCGAGCACAGCUGUUCAUGGAGUGGCAGUUGGGCCGUGUCCCAGGUGUGCACAAAGCCUCUGGCAAGCCGCUGUUAGCCCAGCGUCAACAGGUCCAUCCAGCCAGGGGCUCAGCAGCAAGCAGCACUGAACUGUGAGCCGUGGAAGCGGCUGGAACCUGGAGAGGACGCCCCUCGUCAGUGUUUCCUGUUUUCAAAGAGAAAAGACCUAGAUGACCUUCUGCUUCCGAGUUCCCACGGAAGUGGAGAGGUGGGACUCGGAGGCCGAGAGGCCGACUAGCCACCAGGAGCCCACCCCAAGCUGUUGCUCCCCUCCGUCCCUCCUCCGCCCUGGCCCUGGCCACGCCUCUGUGGCCUUGCCUGUGACCUGUCCCCCCCACAGUCAGGGUGGAGCUGACGCUGGACUCCAGCCAGGGCAGGGUCUGGGGGCAGGGAUGUGACACACGGUGGCCCAGUGCGCCUCCCUGGAACGGGGCCUGGGUUGGCCUCCCACAGGCAGACGCCCUCGUGGUAGGUGCAGAACUCAGAGGGGGAAAGGGCGCCCAGACACAGCGUCCACAACAGCCACCUCGGAAGCACUCUGGAUGUCCGCCGACGCCCCAGUGGACACACCAACUGUCCAUCUGCCGCCAGGAAUAGAGACUGAUCCGCGCUGCGGCCUGGACAGACCGGAGAGCUCUGGGGAGGAAGGAAGCCAGACCCUGGUGGCUGCUGAGGGUGAGGAGGAGGGAGGUAGCACUCAACGGGCACGGGGUGCCCUCCAGGGGCGCUGGGGAGACAGGUGGUCACAGAACACGGAGGCCCUGCUCAACACCACUGACCCAUGGGCUCUCAAAGGCUGGUUUUUAGGGUCUGCGGCUUUCACUUCAAUCAGGAAUCGGGGGGAGCAAGGAGCUCGCAGCCCAGCUCCUGGGGGAGGCUGGGGCCUGCGCCACGGGCACGGGCAGGUGUGGCCUGGCAGAGGAGGAGAGCCAGGGCCUGGGG